AUGAGAAUUUCAAUUAAUACAAUUAAUACAUUAAGGUCUAUUAGGGAUGAGAAUCAAGGAAUUUGUUUUAUCAGGCCUAAAAACCCAAGCUAUAGCUCUAAUUCAUUAAAUAAUAAAUAUAAGGUCUGGGGGGAUGAGAAUCAAGGAAUUUGUUUUAUCAGGCCUAAAAACCCACGCUAUAGCUCUAAUUCAUUAAAUAAUAAAUAUAAGGUCUGGGGGGAUGAGAAUCAAGGAAUUUGUUUUAUCAGGCCUAAAAACCCACGCUAUAGCUCUAAUUCAUUAAAUAAUAAAUAUAAGGUCUGGGGGGAUGAGAAUCAAGGAAUUUGUUUUAUCAGGCCUAAAAACCCACGCUAUACCUCUAAUUCAUUAAAUAAUAAAUAUAAGGUCUGGGGGGAUGAGAAUCAAGGAAUUUGUUUUAUCAGGCCUAAAAACCCACGCUAUAGCUCUAAUUCAUUAAAUAAUAAAUAUAAGGUCUGGGGGGAUGAGAAUCAAGGAAUUUGUUUUAUCAGGCCUAAAAACCCACGCUAUAGCUCUAAUUCAUUAAAUAAUAAAUAUAAGGUCUGGGGGGAUGAGAAUCAAGGAAUUUGUUUUAUCAGGCCUAAAAACCCACGCUAUAGCUCUAAUUCAUUAAAUAAUAAAUAUAAGGUCUGGGGGGAUGAGAAUCAAGGAAUUUGUUUUAUCAGGCCUAAAAACCCACGCUAUACCUCUAAUUCAUUAAAUAAUAAAUAUAAGGUCUGGGGGGAUGAGAAUCAAGGAAUUUGUUUUAUCAGGCCUAAAAACCCACGCUAUACCUCUAAUUCAUUUAAUAAUAAAUAUAAGGUCUGGGGGGAUGAGAAUCAAGGAAUUUGUUUUAUCAGGCCUAAAAACCUACGCUAUAGCUCUAAUUCAUUAAAUAAUAAAUAUAAGGUCUGGGGGAUGAGAAUCAAGGAAUUUGUUUUAUCAGGCCUAAAAACCCAUGUUAGAGCUCUAAUUCAUUAAAUAAUAAAUAUAAGGUCUGGGGGGAUGAGAAUCAAGGAAUUUGUUUUAUUAGGCCUAAAACCCACGCUAUAGCUCUAAUUCAUUAAAUAAUAAAUAUAAGGUCUGGGGGGAUGAGAAUCAAGGAAUUUGUUUUAUCAGGCCUAAAAAACCGUGUUAGAGCUCUAAUUCAUUAAAUAAUAAAUAUAAGGUCUGGGGGGAUGAGAAUCAAGGAAUUUGUUUUAUCAGGCCUAAAAACCCACGCUAUAGCUCUAAUUCAUUAAAUAAUAAAUAUAAGGUCUGGGGGGAUGAGAAUCAAGGAAUUUGUUUUAUCAGGCCUAAAAACCCACGCUAUAGCUCUAAUUCAUUAAAUAAUAAAUAUAAGGUCUGGGGGGAUGAGAAUCAAGGAAUUUGUUUUAUCAGGCCUAAAAACCCACGCUAUAGCUCUAAUUCAUUAAAUAAUAAAUAUAAGGUCUGGGGGGAUGAGAAUCAAGGAAUUUGUUUUAUCAGGCCUAAAAACCCACGCUAUACCUCUAAUUCAUUAAAUAAUAAAUAUAAGGUCUGGGGGGAUGAGAAUCAAGGAAUUUGUUUUAUCAGGCCUAAAAACCCACGCUAUACCUCUAAUUCAUUUAAUAAUAAAUAUAAGGUCUGGGGGGAUGAGAAUCAAGGAAUUUGUUUUAUCAGGCCUAAAAACCUACGCUAUAGCUCUAAUUCAUUAAAUAAUAAAUAUAAGGUCUGGGGGAUGAGAAUCAAGGAAUUUGUUUUAUCAGGCCUAAAAACCCAUGUUAGAGCUCUAAUUCAUUAAAUAAUAAAUAUAAGGUCUGGGGGGAUGAGAAUCAAGGAAUUUGUUUUAUUAGGCCUAAAACCCACGCUAUAGCUCUAAUUCAUUAAAUAAUAAAUAUAAGGUCUGGGGGGAUGAGAAUCAAGGAAUUUGUUUUAUCAGGCCUAAAAAACCGUGUUAGAGCUCUAAUUCAUUAAAUAAUAAAUAUAAGGUCUGGGGGGAUGAGAAUCAAGGAAUUUGUUUUAUUAGGCCUAAAAACCCACGCUAUACCUCUAAUUCAUUAAAUAAUAAAUAUAAGGUCUGGGGGGAUGAGAAUCAAGGAAUUUGUUUUAUCAGGCCUAAAAACCCACGCUAUACCUCUAAUUCAUUAAAUAAUAAAUAUAAGGUCUGGGGGGAUGAGAAUCAAGGAAUUUGUUUUAUCAGGCCUAAAAACCCACGCUAUAGCUCUAAUUCAUUAAAUAAUAGAUAUAAGGUCUGGGGGGAUGAGAAUCAAGGAAUUUGUUUUAUCAGGCCUAAAAACCCACGCUAUAGCUCUAAUUCAUUAAAUAAUAAAUAUAAGGUCUGGGGGGAUGAGAAUCAAGGAAUUUGUUUUAUCAGGCCUAAAAACCCACGCUAUACCUCUAAUUCAUUAAAUAAUAAAUAUAAGGUCUGGGGGGAUGAGAAUCAAGGAAUUUGUUUUAUCAGGCCUAAAAACCCACGCUAUACCUCUAAUUCAUUUAAUAAUAAAUAUAAGGUCUGGGGGAUGAGAAUCAAGGAAUUUGUUUUAUCAGGCCUAAAAACCCAUGUUAGAGCUCUAAUUCAUUAAAUAAUAAAUAUAAGGUCUGGGGGGAUGAGAAUCAAGGAAUUUGUUUUAUUAGGCCUAAAACCCACGCUAUAGCUCUAAUUCAUUAAAUAAUAAAUAUAAGGUCUGGGGGGAUGAGAAUCAAGGAAUUUGUUUUAUCAGGCCUAAAAAACCGUGUUAGAGCUCUAAUUCAUUAAAUAAUAAAUAUAAGGUCUGGGGGGAUGAGAAUCAAGGAAUUUGUUUUAUUAGGCCUAAAACCCCAUGUUAGAGCUCUAAAUCAUUAAAGUUAUUGUUGUCAUAUAAUUAUUUAUUGGAAAAGAAAUAAAAAUUAGAUUUUUAUAAAA
Mytilus californianus (California mussel) is the source of this 2860-nucleotide RNA transcript. It is a transcript of the gene named probable serine/threonine-protein kinase clkA, with no coding region annotated. NCBI's taxonomy places the organism in Eukaryota, Metazoa, Mollusca, Bivalvia, Mytilida, Mytilidae. The record is from RefSeq and is a predicted model, not a curated record. The transcript is spliced from 7 exons.